UACGUAGGGGGCGAGCGUUGUCCGGAUUCAUUGGGCGUAAAGAGCUCGUAGGCGGUUUGGCAAGUCGGAUGUGAAAUCUCUGGGCUCAACUCAGAGAGGCCAUUCGAGACUGCUAUGACUAGAGUCCGGUAGGGGACCAUGGAAUUCCUGGUGUAGCGGUGAAAUGCGCAGAUAUCAGGAGGAACACCCGUGGCUAAGGCGGCUCUCUAGUACGGUACUGACGCUGAGACGCGAAAGCGUGGGGAGCGAACAGG
Molecule: ribosomal RNA, 254 nt
Filed under: uncultured bacterium
Lineage: Bacteria
Description: partial 16S ribosomal RNA
Rfam family: Bacterial small subunit ribosomal RNA
Source: RNAcentral